This 511-nucleotide ribosomal RNA is filed under the name uncultured gamma proteobacterium CHAB-XI-12. RNAcentral describes it as "bacterial SSU rRNA". It matches the Rfam family "Bacterial small subunit ribosomal RNA", at positions 24 to 530 of the family's 1533-position model. Lineage: Bacteria; Pseudomonadati; Pseudomonadota; Gammaproteobacteria. The record is from RNAcentral.
UCAGAUUGAACGCUGGCGGCAGGCCUAACACAUGCAAGUCGAACGGAAACAUGUCUAGCUUGCUAGAUGAUGUCGAGUGGCGGACGGGUGAGUAAUGCUUGGGAACUUGCCUUUGCGAGGGGGAUAACAGUUGGAAACGACCGCUAAUACCGCAUAAUGUCUACGGACCAAACAGGGCUUCGGCUCUGGCGCAAAGAGAGGCCCAAGUGAGAUUAGCUAGUUGGUGAGGUAAAGGCUCACCAAGGCAACGAUCUCUAGCUGUUCUGAGAGGAAGAUCAGCCACACUGGGACUGAGACACGGCCCAGACUCCUACGGGAGGCAGCAGUGGGGAAUAUUGCACAAUGGGGGAAACCCUGAUGCAGCCAUGCCGCGUGUGUUAAGAAGGCCUUCGGGUUGUAAAGCACUUUCAGUUGUGAGGAAAAGUUAGUAGUUAAUACCUGCUAGCCGUGACGUUWACAACAGAAGAAGCACCGGCUAACUCCGUUGCCAGCAGCCGCCGGUAAUACGGAG